AUUGAACGCUGGCGGCAUGCUUUACACAUGCAAGUCGAACGGCAGCGCGGGCUUCGGCCUGGCGGCGAGUGGCGAACGGGUGAGUAAUGCAUCGGAACGUGCCCAGUAGUGGGGGAUAGCCCAUCGAAAGCCGGAUUAAUACCGCAUACGACCUGAUGGUGAAAGCGGGGGACCGAAAGGCCUCGCGCUAGUUGAGCGGCCGAUGUCGGAUUAGCUAGUUGGUUGGGUAAAGGCUUACCAAGGCGACGAUCCGUAGCUGGUCUGAGAGGACGACCAGCCACACUGGGACUGAGACACGGCCCAGACUCCUACGGGAGGCAGCAGUGGGGAAUUUUGGACAAUGGGCGGAAGCCUGAUGCAGCAACGCCGCGUGCGGGAUGACGGCCUUCGGGUUGUAAACCGCUUUCGCCUGUGACGAAGCGUGAGUGACGGUAAUGGGUAAAGAAGCACCGGCUAACUACGUG
RNAcentral lists this ribosomal RNA (464 nucleotides) under uncultured bacterium. RNAcentral's name for it is "partial 16S ribosomal RNA". It matches the Rfam family "Bacterial small subunit ribosomal RNA", at positions 28 to 507 of the family's 1533-position model. The record is from RNAcentral.